Molecule: long non-coding RNA, 7410 nt
Organism: Ruditapes philippinarum (Manila clam)
Lineage: Eukaryota; Metazoa; Mollusca; Bivalvia; Venerida; Veneridae
Exons: 2
Source: RefSeq, a predicted model, not a curated record
CAGAGAGGGGCAAGAGUUUUGAUGUAAACGGCCACGGUCAUCCCUUUGAAAUGUCUUUUGUUAAAGUGGCAUUGUCCUUAUUAAUAGUACUCAAGUUAAUAGACAACAAGUUGAGUGGAAUUGGCUGUUAAUUUAAAAAGAUUGACUAGUAUAAUAGUUAUUGAAGAUAACUUCUAUUGAAAAUUGUUAAGGACAAAGAAACUGCCUAACAUAUGAAAAUACUGUCUCACACUUUUUAUCAAUUCAACAGUAAAAAUACAUACCAAUAGAUUUUUUUAGAAUUGGCUGUGAGUAACAUUGGUUAAUAUUUCUAAAUUACAUUGAAAGCAAUUAUGGCAAAAUAUGAUUCAUGUUAUUUUAACUUUACACCCACCAUUUACAUUUGGAUGGGAAUUAGGUCACUUAAUGAUAAUAUAAGUUACGUAAUUCAUUGAAAUGCUUUUAAAAUAUUGCUAAUUCUGCAUUUAAAUGAAUUUCCAUAUAUGUGUGAUAGAUCUAUUAUGAUCAUUUCUUUUGCAAAAACUGCAUGAUGCAAUUUACUUUUCCUUUACAGAUAAAUGGAGACACAUAUGAAAAUGUGAACAAAGAAUUGAAAAAAACAGAGGCCAGAAAUCUAAGUCCUGUCUAUAAACUUUUAUGUAAUUAUAAAAAAGAAGGCAUGAUUAACUAUAUGAGUUAAGGUCAUUUAUGACUUGUAGUCAGUGUCAACUGGUGAACUUGAAGAAACGCUCCAUGGGAUUGUUAUGUCCAGUUAUGAAGACAGUUCAAAUUUAUAGCCACUUUUUUAUAUUUAUAUCUUUAUCUUAAUUUGAAGAUAAUCUAUACUUAUGCCCUUCGCCAUGUUAUGGCAGGGUCAUAUAGUGUUUUCAGUUUCUGCAAUAUAACUUUUUUAUUAGCUCACCUGAGGACAAUGUCCUCAAGGUGAGCUUUUGUGAUGGCCCAUUGUCUGUCCUCCAUCGUCCAUGUGUGCAUGUGUCAACAAUUUCUUUAAAUUACUUCUCCUAAACCACAUGGCCAAAUUUGUUGAAAUUUUGCGGGUAUGUUUCUUGCAUGAAGCUCUACCAAAGUUGUUCAAAGAAUUAAAUUCAUUAUUUUACAAAAAUCUUCUCGUAAAAAAACGAAAGUGCUAGAGCUUAGAUAUUUGGCAUGAAACAUCUUCAAGUGAAUGUCUACCAUAAAUAAAUGAAUAGAAUAAAAAUUGGCCCUGCCCCAGGGUCAUUGAUUUUCCUUAUAUGUAUAAAGUAAAAACUUAAAGUAUCUUCUUGUGAAAAUUUAUAAUAGGUAGAGCUUAUACAAAAAAAUAAAUUAAAUUUUAUAUGAUAUACAUGCGAUUAUAUUUGCUUUACAGGGAUUCUUAUUUUAUUUACAAAAAAUAUUUAAAGGAACUAUGCUCAUUUGCAAUUGGUUAGACACAGUUAUACAGUAUAUAUGUUAAGACACAAUGGUAUAUAGACAGAUAGAUGGUAUUUAAAUUUUAACUUUCUAUGAUACUGUUAAGAGACUCCCUGUCAUAUGUGACUUUUUUCUGAAGGCCCCUAGGAAAGUCAUAUAUGACAGUCUUGACUGUAUUUAGCAUGAAAUAUCUUCCAGUGGAUGUCUACCAAGUUUUUAAAUGCCCUAGGGUCAAAAUUGGCAGUGCCCCAGGCAUUCCUAAUAUGUAUAUAGUAAAAACUUAUAAAAUCUUCUUGUGAAAAUAAAAAAAAAAGAUAAAGCUUAGAUAUUUGGCAUGAAACAUCUGCUAGUGGAUGUCUACCAAGUUUUCAAAUAAUUGCCCUAGGAUCAAAAUUGGCCUGGGGCCAGGGGUCAUUGAUUUUCUUAAUAUAUGUAGAGUAAAAACUAAAAAAAUAAUAUCAUUGUUUGUUCAAAUAAAAGCCCUAGGGUCAAAAUUGACCCUGCCCCAGGGAUUAUGAUUUUCCUUACAUAUUCAUGUAUAUAGUAAAAACUUAAAAAAAACUUUCUUGUGAAAAUCCCUAAGAUCCAAAACUGAGAUAUUUGGCAUGAAACGUGUUCUAGUGUAUGUCUACAAUGUUUGUUGAAAUAAAACCCCUAGGGUCAAAAUUGGCUCCGCCCCAGGGGAUCAAGGUCGACAGUUCAUUCCCUAGCCAGGUCAAAUGUUUGUUUUUUUCCCCUUUCUUUUUCUGUCAUCUUUUUAUUAGCUCACCUCUCAUUUAGUGACAGGCUGAACUGUUUAAUAAAAUGGCUGCCAGAGUUAAAAUUAUAAAACAACAACAUCUUAAUUCUUAACCACUGGUUAAGUUUUGAAAUAAUUUUACACAAAAAUUUCCUUGAUGACAGUGUGCAAACUGUUUUCAAAUUUAGCUGUCCGUUGUUUCCAAUUGUGCAAAUUUUCAAAUUUGACCGUUUGACCUAUUUCUCAGGUGAGCUAUCCAUGGCCCUCUGGGUCCUCUUGUUAUAACAAUUAAUGUUAUGUGAUAAAUAUUUUAACAUGUGAUUUGUUUUUAAACCAGAUGUGGCACAUGAUUAACAUUAUAGUAGGAAAAGUUUUUUUAUCAAGUGAUGUAAUGUAAUUAUAUUUUUAAAAGUAAUUAUUUAUAACAAAUGAUGUUAAUAUUUUAAAAAGAAAAUUUCUCAUGUGAUAAAUAGCUAAACAAGUGGCAAUAAAGAUGUUAAGUGAGAUGUUGAUAAAUAGGGGAUAAUGUAAAAAUGUAGUUAGUCAUGUAAGAACUGGUUUGUUUACUAGCAUGCUUUAGAUGUUUUAAAUAAAAGAAAUUUUUGUAAUUUUAAAUAAUUCGGGAUUUCUUUUAGCUCACUUGCCACUAUGUGACAUUUUAAUAUGGUACCACACAAAUUGAAUGCACAGAACUAAGAUAUAUUUGGCAUGGAGCAUUUCCUAUUGAACCUCUGAAAAAAUUAUAUUAUUAGUUAUAAAGAUCGUUGACAGGUUAUAUCAUAACUUAUAUGGCCCUAUAUAAACGGCUAUUUGUAAAUAUAACCAGAGCCGUUAGGCGAGGGUUAUAUUGCAAACAGCCAUUUAUAUAUGGCCAUAUAACCUGUCAACAAUCUUUAUGACGAAUUUAUAAUACAGCAAGCAUUAUUUUUAAAGAAAAAAAGUAGGAUUUCUUGAUGAAUCGACAGCAGCCGUGUAAAUAAAACUUAAACGACACGAUUAUCCAAUGAAAAAUGACGUUACAAACGUGCAGUAUUAUAAAGUUCUAAUCUGAUGAAUAAGUAGGUCACAGGAGCUUUAAAUUGAUUUUAAAGGGUAGAAAUUGACCCUGCUUUAGCAUAUUGUAUAGAAUGAUACACCCAUUUUGACCAAAUUAUUUACUUUUGAUUUAAAAAAUUUGGACCUAUUAUAUCAUUAUCUUGGGUGAACUUCCAAAGCCAUCAUGUCCCUCUUGUUUUUAUUGGUGACAGUUUAGUUUUUACUCUUGUAUUUGGAUAUUGGAGUUAUGUAAUAUAGUUAUUCUUCUGAGGUUAGGUUAUUUGUAUUUAAAGAAUUUUUUUUUCUCAAUUGUUUUUAAGGUUAUGAAUAGUUAAUUUAUUAUGUAUGUAUUAGUCUCCUGUAAUUUUUACCUAGAAAUUGGCUACUGCUAUGCAUUUUUAUAUAAAAAUGAGCCGCACCAUGACAAAACCAACAUUUGCGUUUGCGACCAGCUUAGAUCCAGACCAGCCUGCGCAUCCGGACAGUCUGAUGAGGAUCCAUGCUGUUCAUUUUAAAAACCCUGUUACAAGUAGAGAAAGUGAAAGUGAACAGUGCGCAGACUGGUCUUGAUGCAUGCUGGUCAAAAACACACUAUGUUGCUAUUUUCAUUGCGCGGCUCAUAUUUUUUAUGCCACCGCAGCAUCUGCGAUGCGAUGGCAUAUAGUGAUUCACCUGUUUGUGUGUAUGUAUGUGCGAGGGCUCUUCAAAGAGUUUGUGGACUGCGGCUCUAAUGUUCACAUCUUUUAAUUUGCGUACACAAUUUUACAAGAGACAAAUCUGGAAACAUGUCCAUAAGAUAUAGUGAAAAAAAUCAAUAAAAUUUGUUUACAAAUAACAAUUCUGUGUAAAUUACAAGUAACAAGGGGUACAUGACCUGGCACAUGGUAAUGAUAAAACCAAAUGACAUUUUGGACGUUGUAAUUUCAAUUAAAAAUGUCACCAGCUUCUGAAAGUACAUUUUUGAGUGUUCUAUGUCUCCAAAUGAUGAAACCAUUACAAUUUUUCUGUUUGUUAUGAUGUAGUGUUAAAGAAAGCUGUCACCUUUUUAAUCCAUUCCUGUUUUCGUGUCCGGUCCAUAACUUUGAUAUUUAUCAAAGGAAUUUGAUAUAACUUUGCACAAAUGUUUAUUAUAAUAAGAGGAUGUGUCAUGCGCAACAACCAGACCCCUACCUCCAGGGUCAAGGUAGCACUUGCUCAUUCAAGGUCAACAUUGUCUAUUUGAGGGUAUAUGUCAUGUCCGGUCCAUAACUUUCUUAUCUAUGAAGGAAUUUUGUAAAUACUUGCCAUAAUUGUUCACAAUAAUCAGACAAUGUGUCAUGCGCAAAAAACGGUCACCUACCUCCAAGGUCAAGGUCACACUUGGAGGUCAAAUACUUACAUAGUCUGUUACAGGGUAUAUUUUGUGUCUGGUCCAUAACUUUUUCAUAGAUCAAAGGAUUUUGAAAAUACUUCGCACAAAUAGUCACUAUAAUUAGAGAAUGUGUCAUGCGCAACACCUGCAUCCCUACCUCCAAGGUCAAGGUCACACUUAGAGGUAAAGAAUUAACAUAGUCUGUUAAAAGUGGAUAUUUUGUGUCGGAUCUGGAACUUCUUCAUAGUUCAAGGGAUUUUGAAAAUACUUUGCACAAUUAGUCAAUAAUAAGACGUUAUGUCAUGCACAACACCUGCUCCCCUACCUCCAAGGUCAAGGUCACACUUACAGGUUAAAGCUUAACAGAGUCUGUUAUAUAGUAUAUUUUAUGUCCCGUCCAUAACUUCUUCAUAGAUCAAGGGAUUUUGAAAAUACAUGGCACAAAUAGUCACAAUGAUAAGAUGAUAUGUCAUGCAUAUCACCUGUGUCCCUACAUCCAAGGUCGACCUUCAAACCACUUGCCCCUCACCGCUGUGGGUUCGAAUCCCGACAGGGACUUUGGAUUCUUUCAUGUGAGGAAGCUAUCCAGCUAGCUUACGGAACGUCGGUGGUUCUACUCAGGUGCCCAUUCGUGCCUGAAAUAAUGCACGGAAGGGCACCUGAGGUCUUCCUCCACCAGUAAAGCUGGAACGUCGCGAUAUGACCUAUACUGUGUCGAUGUGACGUAAAACCCAAAACAAAACAAACAAACAUCCAAGGUCAAGGUCACACUUGGAGGUCAAAGAUUAACAUAGUCUGUUAUAUGGUAUCAUAUCAAUAUGGUAUCCUUUGAUCGAUCAAAGGAUUUUGAAAAUACUUGGCACAAAAUGUCUAUAAUAAGACGAUAUGUCAGGUGUAAAACAUGAGUCCCUACCUCCAAGGUCACACUUGGAGGUCAAAGACAUAGUCUGUUUUAGGGUAUAUUUUGUGUCCAAUCUAUAACUUCUUUAUAGUUCAAGGUAUUUUGUAAAUACUUGGCACAAAUAGUUACAAUAAUGUCAUGUGCAACGCCUGCACCCCUUUCUCCAAUGUCAAAGUCACACUUAGAGGUCAAAACUUAACAUAGAUUUUUAAAUUCCAUGUUUCAUUUUAUUUCUUUAAUAAAUUUAUUGUUGCAGUUGCAGAUCUAGCAUUGAUCAUAAUUUUGGACUGAAAGUCCUGAGAUUCAUACCUAAAUCUUUUAAAUAGCACAGUUUUAUGCUUCAUAUGAAAGUUCCCUGAGGCGGGGGACGUUGGUAACUCUGUUAUAAAUUCUUGUAUUUGUAUAGUAUAAUUGUUGUUUACAACUCUCCAUAUCAUGCUUUCUGUAAUAUGUUAAAGUUAUGUUAUGCUCUAUGUUUGAAAUUUGCUACACAGUCUCAUUUUAAAUUGUCCACUACCCAAGGGGGUUAUUGAUUUUUUUUUAUAUGUAUAAAGUAAAACUUUUAAAAAAUUAUUUAAAAAAAAACUAACAGCUUGUGUUUAGAUAUUUAGCAUGAAACAUCUUCUAAUGAGUAUCUUCCAAAUUUCUUCAAAUAAUUUGGGUCAAAAUUGGCUUCUUUGACAUCUUUUGGAACUGUUGUUUUUCCCUUAAAGCUACAUGCCUCUAGAUGAGCCAAAAUAUUUCAAGAAAUUCAAUCUUAAGAAAAAUGUAUUAAGAUCUUGAGAAGAGAAAAAAGGUUCAAUAUUUAAUUAAUUAUUAACAUCUUAUUUGCAAUUAAUGACCGAUUUUGCAGUAUCAAUCACUAUAUUUCUAAUGCAUUACUAACACAUUAAAAGGUAUUUACUAUUUAUGUAUAUUUUGACCACUUUUUGGUAAUUUACAUGGGUUGUAAGUGCCAUUUGAAAUUUGUAAAUUACUUUUAUUGUUCACUUCACAAUAUUUUUCAUUUAAAUAUAUUUUCAAAAUUUUCAUGAAAAUUAGCAUGAAUCUGGAGACAUGCUGCUUUAACAAUAGCAACCACUAAUGUUUUUACUAAUGUACUCUUUUAGAUACAAAUAUGAACUUUGUGAUAUCAGUUUAAGAUUUUAUAUCUGUUUUUGUUUAUAUUUUACAAUAUUACUUGUUCCUUGCCAUUUGAAGUUUUAUAUUCAGGUGAGCUACUUCAGGGCCGUCACGGCCCUCUUGUUCCUUUUUGAGGUUGUGUCAAUAAAAUUCAGGUUAAAAAAAGAGACCUUCAAAUUGUUAAGUAUCCUACUAAUUGAUUGUCUCAUCAGUUUUAUGUUCAGAGUUUUUUCAGUUUUGUUGAGACAGAUGAUAGUAGGUCCGACACUUUUUAUCAUGCCCCCACAAUGUGGGAGCAUAUAGCGUUGCACUUGUCCGUCCAUCCGUCCGUACUUCUGUUCAUCCGUCCGUCUGUCUGUACGUCCCGAAAUCUUGUGAACGCAACUCCUCUUAAACAGGUUGGCAAAUUUUUACUUAAACUUCCAGGGAUGAACAACCUUAAUGUGUAGAUGGUAGUAAAGGAAGGAAUUUUUGCUGCGACCAAAUUUAACAGAAUUAUGGCCCUUUGUUGAUUUUUUCACUAUAUACCAUAUAGAAAUUUUGUGAACGCAACUCCUCUUAAACUUGUUGGCAGAUUUUGCUUAAACUUCCUGGGAUGAAUAAUUUAUUGGAAAAUGAAUUAGGUAUUUGAAUUCUUAACAAAAUCUUAUUGAGAAGUGCAGUGUGUAAUUGCCUUUCGUAUAUUAAAACAGUCUUACUACACUUAUCUAUAUUAUUUUUUGUGAGUUGAUAUUCAUUUGUUGUAAACUUUUAGGCAACUGAUUUCAGAUUUUUAAACCAUUUUUUUUGUUAUAAUUCACAUUAUGUUAAAUAUGUUAUGUAUAUUCAAUUACUGAAUGAAUAAUAAAUAUAUAAAAAAAAGCUUUUACA